This 253-nucleotide ribosomal RNA is filed under the name uncultured bacterium. RNAcentral describes it as "partial 16S ribosomal RNA". It matches the Rfam family "Bacterial small subunit ribosomal RNA", at positions 524 to 776 of the family's 1533-position model. The record is from RNAcentral.
UACAGAGGUCUCAAGCGUUGUUCGGAUUCAUUGGGCGUAAAGGGUGCGUAGGUGGCGGGGUAAGUCAGGUGUGAAAUCUCGGGGCUCAACCCCGAAACUGCACUUGAUACUGCCUUGCUCGAGGACUGGAGAGGAGAUUGGAAUUCACGGUGUAGCAGUGAAAUGCGUAGAUAUCGUGAGGAAGACCAGUGGCGAAGGCGGAUCUCUGGACAGUUCCUGACGCUGAGGCACGAAGGCCAGGGGAGCAAACGGG